UUUAUGACCAGCUGCAAGGGGAAGCUGGGUCUCCCUAUCACGGGGAGUCUAGGGAAAGGGGGAAAGUCUUCCAGCCUGAACUUUAACCAGAUUCCUACUUGUGCAAGAAGCAGAAGCACAAUUUGAAGUUAAUAGAAGCUUUCUCAUGGAGAACUUUAUUCCCUCUCUGAGCUCUUCUAGCAAGUUGUCUUGGAGUUGACUACGCAGUGACGACGGAGAUUACCCAGUCAACUAUUUUUGAACACUGAAAGGGAAAAUCACCUUUAAAUUGAAAAGAUAAUUUUCAGAAGAGAUUUGACUGUGUUUUGUGCUCCUCAGCAUUCAUGCAAAGGUGUUCGCAGAGUACAGAAACGGAUGAGCCAAGGAGCAGCAUAUAGUCCAGAGGGUCAGCCCAUGGGGAGCUUUGUGUUGGAUGGUCAGCAACACAUGGGGAUCCGGCCUGCAGGACCUAUGAGUGGAAUGGGCAUGAAUAUGGGCAUGGAUGGGCAAUGGCACUACAUGUAACCUUCAUCAUGUAAAGCAAUCGCAAAGCAAGGGGGAAGUUUGCAGAGCAUGCCAGGGGACU
RNAcentral lists this small RNA (565 nucleotides) under Pan troglodytes (chimpanzee). RNAcentral's name for it is "retained intron". Lineage: Eukaryota; Metazoa; Chordata; Mammalia; Primates; Hominidae. The record is from RNAcentral.